UAACAGACAAUAACAAGAAUUAACAAAUUAAAUAACAUUUAAGCGAGCCAACGACUGGUGGAAGGUUGGUAAUGCUCUAUUUAGUGUGUAUCACCUUGUUGUUUUUCAGAUGAAUCAAGUAGUUUGGAACGGCCAAUGCCCGUUAACGCAUCUUAAGGAGGGUCUUUGACUCUCAAAAUUAGGUGGUACCACGAAGAUUUCGUCCUAUAC
This is a regulatory RNA element of 210 nucleotides. It matches the Rfam family "T-box leader". From Rfam's summary of the family: Uncharged tRNA acts as the effector for transcription antitermination of genes in the T-box leader family. T-boxes are found upstream of many aminoacyl-tRNA synthetase genes and some amino acid biosynthetic genes usually in Gram-positive bacteria. The record is from Rfam.